CUAUGCAUAGUAAACUAGUUCUGAGAUGGAGAACCAGGCCAAGCUCUUCGAGGAAGAAAAAAGAUUAGGAAAUGAAUGACUUUGCUGGACCACACCCAGUGAAUCGCAGGUUGAAGAGCAAAGGAGCCAACCAAUCAUGGACUAAAACCUCAGCAACCGUUGAUUACCUCCCUGAUGUGCUACAGUGAUAGCAAACUGACUACUACAGAAUAGUUGGGAGCCAAAUUAUGGUAUAUUGAGGCACAGAGCGAUGAGGGGUUUGACUUAGCUCAUAAUAAACAUUUGUAAUAUGAGAAUAACAGGGCAAGACAUUCCAAAGUGAAAUGCUAGGUGAGGAAGAGAGGGUACUGAUAGACAAAAGAAGACAUGCCAAGUAAGGAGAAAAGUUAUAUGUGAUCGGAAGAAUGAAAAGAAGAAAAGGAGAAUCAAGUGGAUUGUAACUCCUAAAACGAUCAUUAAGAUUUAAGAGGCAGAGGUGAAAUCAGAGAAAUAGCAGUGAAGGCCAGGGUGUUCAAGACUGAUGCUGUGGCUGUGAUGAUGAACGCAGACCAAAGAUUGAAUUAAACCCGCAAAUUAUCGGUAAAACAUACCACACCACUGGAUGUGUCUGUGAGACUGUUCCUGGGAAGAUCAAGCAGCUAGUAAGUCCAGCUCUGAAUAUGGGUAAUACUAUCCCGUAAGCUAAGGGCUCCAAUAUGAUUAAAGACCUAAGGGAAAGGCUUAUGCAUGAAUUCUCUCACUAAAUCCUAACCAAUAUUAUUUGACCUGCUAUCCAGCACAUACCAUGCUAGAAUAAAAUCUCUUAAGCC
Molecule: long non-coding RNA, 809 nt
Filed under: Mus pahari (shrew mouse)
Lineage: Eukaryota; Metazoa; Chordata; Mammalia; Rodentia; Muridae
Description: lncRNA (MGP_PahariEiJ_G0004378.1)
Source: RNAcentral